Arachis ipaensis is the source of this 228-nucleotide non-coding RNA. The record is from RefSeq and is a predicted model, not a curated record. NCBI's taxonomy places the organism in Eukaryota, Viridiplantae, Streptophyta, Magnoliopsida, Fabales, Fabaceae.
CCAGCUUCAUGAAAAAUAUUUUUCCAUUCUUCUUCGGUUCUCUCUUUUCCAUGAUUGAGAAUAAUAUGCAUGCUUAUAUUCAUAAGAAAUUUGAGUCGAGUAAUUUCAGGCUCAUCUUGUUCUUCAUUUAUCACCGCCUCUAAAAUGAUUAUUUUACCUUUAUUUUUAUUUUUACUUGAAGUAUUAACAGCAUCUUUACAGUUUCUCAAUAUUUUUACGCAAUUGUCG